ACGGGUGAGUAACACGUGGGCAACCUGCCCUUGAGACUGGGAUAACUUCGGGAAACCGGAGCUAAUACCGGAUAAUAUAAGGAACCUCCUGGUUCCUUAUUGAAAGAUGGUUUCGGCUAUCACUUAAGGAUGGGCCCGCGGCGCAUUAGCUAGUUGGUGAGGUAACGGCUCACCAAGGCGGCGAUGCGUAACCGACCUGAGAGGGUGAUCGGCCACACUGGGACUGAGACACGGCCCAGACUCCUACGGGAGGCAGCAGUAGGGAAUCUUCCACAAUGGACGAAAGUCUGAUGGAGCAACGCCGCGUGAGUGAUGAAGGCCUUCGGGUCGUAAAGCUCUGUUGUUAGGGAAGAACAAGUGCGAGAGUAACUGCUCGCACCUUGACGGUACCUAACCAGAAAGCCACGGCUAACUACGUGCCAGCAGCCGCGGUAAUACGUAGGUGGCAAGCGUUAUCCGGAAUUAUUGGGCGUAAAGCGCGCGCAGGUGGUUUCUUAAGUCUGAUGUGAAAGCCCACGGCUCAACCGUGGAGGGUCAUUGGAAACUGGGGAACUUGAGUGCAGAAGAGGAAAGUGGAAUUCC
RNAcentral lists this ribosomal RNA (582 nucleotides) under uncultured bacterium. Its description in RNAcentral is "bacterial SSU rRNA". It matches the Rfam family "Bacterial small subunit ribosomal RNA", at positions 102 to 670 of the family's 1533-position model. The record is from RNAcentral.